Molecule: ribosomal RNA, 523 nt
Filed under: uncultured Fidelibacterota bacterium
Lineage: Bacteria; Pseudomonadati; Fidelibacterota
Description: bacterial SSU rRNA
Rfam family: Bacterial small subunit ribosomal RNA
Source: RNAcentral
AGGGUUUGAUUAUGGCUCAGGACGAACGCUGGCGGUGUGCUUAACACAUGCAAGUCAACGAGAAUUUAUCUUCGGAUAAUAGUAAAGUGGCGAACGGGUGAGUAACGCGUAAAUAACUUGCCUUGGAGAUUGGGACAACAUCGGGAAACCAGUGCUAAUACCAAAUAAUGCAGCGGGCCCUUCGGGGCAUAGUUGUUAAAGUAGGCUUCGGCUUACACUUCAAGAUAGAUUUGCGUCCGAUUAGUUAGUUGGUAGGGUAAUAGCCUACCAAGACCGAGAUCGGUAGCUGGUCUGAGAGGAUGAUCAGCCACACUGGAAUUGAGAUACGGUCCAGACUCCUACGGGAGGCAGCAGUGAGGAAUUUUGCACAAUGGGCGAAAGCCUGAUGCAGCAACACCGCGUGAUUGAUGAAGUUUUUAGGAAUGUAAAAAUCUGUCGUAAGGGAAGAAAUGUUUCGGAUGUUAAUACCAUCUGUUACUGACGGUACCUUACAAGAAAGGACCGGCUAACUUCGUGCCAGCCC